UACAGAGGUCUCAAGCGUUGUUCGGAUUCAUUGGGCGUAAAGGGUGCGUAGGCGGCGCGGUAAGUCGGGUGUGAAAUCUCGGGGCUUAACUCCGAAACUGCAUUCGAUACUGCCGUGCUUGAGGACUGGAGAGGAGACUGGAAUUUACGGUGUAGCGGUGAAAUGCGUAGAUAUCGUAAGGAAGACCAGUGGCGAAGGCGGGUCUCUGGACAGUUCCUGACGCUGAGGCGCGAAGGCCAGGGGAGCAAACGGG
This 253-nucleotide ribosomal RNA is filed under the name uncultured bacterium. Its description in RNAcentral is "partial 16S ribosomal RNA". It matches the Rfam family "Bacterial small subunit ribosomal RNA", at positions 524 to 776 of the family's 1533-position model. The record is from RNAcentral.